RNAcentral lists this ribosomal RNA (864 nucleotides) under uncultured archaeon. RNAcentral describes it as "bacterial SSU rRNA". It matches the Rfam family "Archaeal small subunit ribosomal RNA", at positions 474 to 1338 of the family's 1478-position model. The record is from RNAcentral.
UACCCGCAGCUCGAGUGCUGCUCACUUUUAUUGAACCCAAUGAGUAUGGAUCCGGAUUUGCUGAUCUUCAGAUAAAUUCCUCUGCUUAAACAUGAUCUUCUGAACACACUGCGACUACUUGCUCACCGGGUGAGGUUGAACGGACUUCCGGAUUAGGGCUAAAAUCCUGUACUCCUGGAAGGACCACCGAUGACGAGAGCGCUCCCUCACAUUCCACCCGAUUGUGAGUAACGAGCCCUAUAGAAUGACAGCGUAUUACAUACGCGGGUAGACCUAGAUGUAUGCACUGCCCACUGGGUGUUGCCCCUCCGAUGAGGGGAGGCAGUGCCGGAGCGAAGGUGUUAAGUGGGCCGCUUGGGGAGUAUGGUCGCAAGUCUGAAACUUAAAGGAAUCGGCGGGGGAGCCCCGCAACGGGAGGAGCGUGCGGUUUAAUUGGAUUCAACGCCAGAAAACUCACCGGGAGCGACCUUUGGAUGAGAGUCAGCCUGAUGAGCUUACUCGAUAGAAGGAGACGUGGUGCAUGGCCGUCGUCAGCUCGUACCGUAGGGCGUUCACUUAAGUGCUGAUAACGAGCGAGAUCCCCAUCUCUAAGUGCUACCGGGCAUUUGCGCGUACGCGCACUUCAGAGGGUCCUCCAGCACUAACCUGGAGGAAGGAGGGGUCGACGGCAGGCCAGUACGCCCCGAAUCUUCCGGGCACCACGCGCGCUACAAAGGGCAGGACAAUGAGUUCCACCUCGAAAGGGGGAGCUAAUCUCGAAACCUGUUCGUAGUUAGGAUUGAGGGCUGUAACUAAACCUCAGGAAUGUCGAUUACGUAGUAAUCGCGGGUCAACAAUUCCGCGGAGAAUAUGCCACUGUCUCUU